GACUGGCCACCCCUCAGAGCCUGGUUCCUCUCUAGGUUUAUAAUCUCCACCCGGCACAGCCAGAAGAGGACUGGCCACCCCUCAUAGCCUGGUUCCUCUCUAGGUUUAUAAUCUCCACCCGGCACAGCCAGAAGAGGACUGGCCACCCCUCAUAGCCUGGUUCCUCUCUAGGUUUAUAAUCUCCACCCGGCACAGCCAGU
Long non-coding RNA from Oncorhynchus keta (chum salmon), 200 nucleotides. RefSeq lists it as uncharacterized. Lineage: Eukaryota; Metazoa; Chordata; Actinopteri; Salmoniformes; Salmonidae. The transcript has 3 exons. The record is from RefSeq and is a predicted model, not a curated record.